GAUGAACGCUGGCGGCGUGCCCAAUACAUGCAAGUCGAGCGAACGGACGAGAAGCUUGCUUCUCUGAUGUUAGCGGCGGACGGGUGAGUAACACGUGGAUAACCUACCUAUAAGACUGGGAUAACUUCGGGAAACCGUAGCUAAUACCGGAUAAUAUUUUGAACCGCAUGGUUCAAAAGUGAAAGACGGUCUUGCUGUCACUUAUAGAUGGAUCCGCGCUGCAUUAGCUAGUUGGUAAGGUAACAGCUUACCAAGGCAACGAUGCAUAGCCGACCUGAGAGGGUGAUCGGCCACACUGGAACUGAGACACGGUCCAGACUCCUACGGGAGGCAGCAGUAGGGAAUCUUCCGCAAUGGGCGAAAGCCUGACGGAGCAACGCCGCGUGAGUGAUGAAGGUCUUCGGAUCGUAAAACUCUGUUAUUAGGGAAGAACAUAUGUGUAAGUAACUGUGCACAUCUUGACGGUACCUAAUCAGAAAGCCACGGCUAACUACGUG
Molecule: ribosomal RNA, 497 nt
Filed under: uncultured bacterium
Lineage: Bacteria
Description: partial 16S ribosomal RNA
Rfam family: Bacterial small subunit ribosomal RNA
Source: RNAcentral